RNAcentral lists this ribosomal RNA (301 nucleotides) under uncultured bacterium. Its description in RNAcentral is "partial 16S ribosomal RNA". It matches the Rfam family "Bacterial small subunit ribosomal RNA", at positions 509 to 807 of the family's 1533-position model. The record is from RNAcentral.
CAGUAGCCGCGGGAAUACAGAGGGUGCGAGCGUUAAUCGGAUUUACUGGGCGUAAAGCGUGCGUAGGCGGCUUCUUAAGUCGGAUGUGAAAUCCCUGAGCUUAACUUAGGAAUUGCAUUCGAUACUGGGAAGCUAGAGUAUGGGAGAGGAUGGUAGAAUUCCAGGUGUAGCUGUGAAAUGCGUAGAGAUCUGGAGGAAUACCGAUGGCGAAGGCAGCCAUCUGGCCUAAUACUGACGCUGAGGUACGAAAGCAUGGGGAGCAAACAGGAUUAGAUACCCCUGUAGUCCCUGUCUCUUAUAC